CCGAAAAUGUAACGGGGCUAAAGAAUUGUACCGAAGCUAUGGACGCGUUUACGCGUGGUAGGAGAGCAUUGUGUUUACCGAUGAAGGCGUACCGAUAAGGAGCGCUGGAGGUCCCACAAGAGCUGAUGAUGGCAUGAGUAGCGAUAAGGAAUGUGAGAAUCAUUCCCGCCGAAAAUCUAAGGGUUCCUGGGCCAGGUGACUCCGCCCAGGGUUAGUCGGAUCCUAAGGUGAGGCCGAAAGGCGUAAUCGAUGGAU
This 255-nucleotide ribosomal RNA is filed under the name Pseudo-nitzschia fraudulenta. RNAcentral's name for it is "partial Bacterial large subunit ribosomal RNA". It matches the Rfam family "Bacterial large subunit ribosomal RNA", at positions 1164 to 1423 of the family's 2925-position model. Lineage: Eukaryota; Bacillariophyta; Bacillariophyceae; Bacillariales; Bacillariaceae. The record is from RNAcentral.